RNAcentral lists this ribosomal RNA (414 nucleotides) under uncultured bacterium. RNAcentral's name for it is "bacterial SSU rRNA". It matches the Rfam family "Bacterial small subunit ribosomal RNA", at positions 355 to 786 of the family's 1533-position model. The record is from RNAcentral.
UCGGGAAUAUUGCGCAAUGGAGGAAACUCUGACGCAGUGACGCCGCGUAUAGGAAGAAGGUUUUCGGAUUGUAAACUAUUGUCGUUAGGGAAGAAAAAGACAGUACCUAAGGAGGAAGCUCCGGCUAACUACGUGCCAGCAGCCGCGGUAAUACGUAGGGAGCAAGCGUUAUCCGGAUUUAUUGGGUGUAAAGGGUGCGUAGACGGGCGAUCAAGUUAGUUGUGAAAUCCCUCGGCUCAACUGAGGAACUGCAACUAAAACUGGUUGUCUUGAGUGCAGGAGAGGUAAGUGGAAUUCCUAGUGUAGCGGUGAAAUGCGUAGAUAUUAGGAGGAACACCAGUGGCGAAGGCGACUUACUGGACUGUAACUGACGUUGAGGCACGAAAGUGUGGGGAGCAAACAGGAUUAGAUACC